Bactrocera neohumeralis is the source of this 744-nucleotide long non-coding RNA. RefSeq lists it as uncharacterized. The record is from RefSeq and is a predicted model, not a curated record. Lineage: Eukaryota; Metazoa; Arthropoda; Insecta; Diptera; Tephritidae. The transcript has 3 exons.
CGCAGCGAACGAAAGCUGAACCGUCGUUCUUGUGUGUCUCGCGGCCGGUGACGGGAGUGAGUGACAAGCCAAGAAAAGUUAAGCAGAAAAUUUUUAAAGCACCUUAUGUGUCAUGUUAUAUGACAAUUGAAGAAAAUAUGUGAAAAAAUAUAAAGAAAUUCAAUGGAAAUUUAAUUUGAGUGGAGAAAAGUUGAAGCAAAGCAACUAAAAAUACAGUGGCAAUGUGCGUAAAUUGGCGUGAAUAAUUGUCUGCAGCAAAAAAUUGUUGUGGUAGCAAACAAAAGGAUUCCAACAAUGCAUACUAUUUAAGAUGAUCCGGGCGCAUCUUUUUUCUGAGUGGUCACCGGAAAUGGCGUCGCAAUGACCAAGUUUAAUAUAUGUAUUUUUUUCCAAAAAUUUCGGGAUUUUUUUGCUAAUAGUGUAUGUUUUUAACAAUAAAAAAUUCACGUAAAAUAUUUUAUUUUUUAUAUGAGAAAAAAAUUGUUGAAAAAAUGCUGGUUUUUACCCAAGGAAACCUAUGUAACGAAGAUAAAAAAGUUGAUUUUAUAUUAUGGUACGAUAUGUAUAUACAAUAAUAAAAAACGCUUUACAAAAUAGGUGAACAGCAGCCCCAAUGUAGACCUCCAUCACACCUAAAAACAAUAAUGUUGUGUACAUUAAUUAAUGCGGCCAAAUGACAAAAAACAACGAGCAAACAAAAUUAAUUCUUUAACGACAUAUUUAAAGAUAAAUUAUUAUUUUAUG